RNAcentral lists this ribosomal RNA (465 nucleotides) under uncultured bacterium. Its description in RNAcentral is "partial 16S ribosomal RNA". It matches the Rfam family "Bacterial small subunit ribosomal RNA", at positions 331 to 794 of the family's 1533-position model. The record is from RNAcentral.
CCAGACUCCUACGGGAGGCAGCAGUGAGGAAUAUUGGUCAAUGGCCGGGAGGCUGAACCAGCCAAGUCGCGUGAGGGAAGACGGCCCUACGGGUUGUAAACCUCUUUUGUCAGGGAGCAAGGUGCAGGUCGGGACCUGCUGUGAGAGUACCUGAAGAAAAAGCAUCGGCUAACUACGUGCCAGCAGCCGCGGUAAUACGUAGGGAGCGAGCGUUGUCCGGAAUUACUGGGUGUAAAGGGAGCGUAGGCGGGACUGCAAGUUGGGUGUCAAAUCUACCGGCUCAACCGGUAGCCGCACUCAAAACUGCAGUUCUUGAGUGAAGUAGAGGCAGGCGGAAUUCCUAGUGUAGCGGUGAAAUGCGUAGAUAUUAGGAGGAACACCAGUGGCGAAGGCGGCCUGCUGGGCUUUUACUGACGCUGAGGCUCGAAAGUGUGGGGAGCAAACAGGAUUAGAUACCCGAGUAAA